RNAcentral lists this ribosomal RNA (244 nucleotides) under uncultured bacterium. RNAcentral describes it as "partial small subunit ribosomal RNA". It matches the Rfam family "Bacterial small subunit ribosomal RNA", at positions 26 to 285 of the family's 1533-position model. The record is from RNAcentral.
AGAAUCAACGCUGGCGGCGUGCCUAACACAUGCAAGUCGAACGAGAAAGCGGAGCAAUCCGCAAGUAAAGUGGCGCACGGGUGAGUAACACGUGACUAACCUACCCUGGAGUGGGGGAUAACUGAGAGAAAUCUUAGCUAAUACCGCAUAACACCUACGGGUCAAAGGAGCAAUUCGCUUCAGGAGGGGUCGCGGCAGAUUAGAUAGUUGGCGGGGUAAUGGCCCACCAAGUCAGUGAUCUGUA